This is a long non-coding RNA of Zophobas morio, 1878 nucleotides long. RefSeq lists it as uncharacterized. Lineage: Eukaryota; Metazoa; Arthropoda; Insecta; Coleoptera; Tenebrionidae. The transcript is spliced from 4 exons. The record is from RefSeq and is a predicted model, not a curated record.
GACAACAGAGGUUGACAGCGUUAGUUUAUUAGAGUUGUGAAGAAAUAUUUUAGAAAAACAAAGCAUAAUUUUUAUUUUGUUUCUACACAUAAAUAACAAUAAUAAUUAAACCAAAAUUGCUGGUUAUAAUUUUAACACUUUUCGGCUCGAAGGUUUAUUUUUCAAACCUAAUCUCUUUAACGAAUCCGUUGUUCUUAAACAAAUAUUAUCGAGUACAGGUUUUGCAGCUGUAGUUAUAAUAAAUCUGCAAACUGCAUCUCUGUGUUCAGUGCAGGAGAAUAUAGUGUUUUUAAGAAGGUGAGGAUGUAUCCAGUCAAUUAAUUUUUUGCAAAUAUUUUCCCCUUUCAGGCAAGGUACUAAAUUUUGAAUUGUUGAUGUUAAUUUAUAAAUAACGCCAACAAAACGCUCGUUAGGGCUUAUUAGUCCGCCUAGAUUUUGAUAAGUAAUUAAUUUUAAAAGCGGUCCUGGUGUUGUUGUGGAUAAAAAUUGUCUGCUACAUUCAUCACAAGCAAAUUUUUGUUCUACCUUCUUGAUAAUAUAUCCGGACAAAAAUGCAACAGAUGCAGACAUAAUAUUAUUUGCAGGUAUGAAAUAUUCACUCAAGUGGUAGAUUUCAUCUCUUAUAAUGAUGGUUGAAAUAGUAGAUCUACUAACAUAACCACUUUUUUCUGCUGGAUUUGACGAUGCAGAAACUUUUACAAUUCCGCAACGGAGAAUUUGCCGUAGUGCAUAUUCCGCUGCCCUGGCAUCUGUUUGAUCCUGCGAACCACCUCUCAAUCUGAUAUGGGAAAAUGUAGCUUCUAUAGCAUCAGAACUAAAUGAACGUGUCAACACGUAAUAAAAUCCUGCUUGGGUAAGCAAAAACUUGAUGCAUAAGUAAGUACUUUUAGAGGUGAACUGAAGUGCAUGGGCAGUCUCUUUACUAAGUCCCUUUAAACCAAUCCGCGCUGAACAGUUCUGGAUGUCUUCAAUAUAAUUUGGAAACGUGAUAUUUAACCAAUGGAGACGUUCAUCAUCAACAUUUAUAAACGGAGCAACGCUGCUGUCUAAAGAAUGAAUAUAAUGUUGUUUGUUUGAUACAUUAUGCACUUGAAAAAAAUUAUACAUCAUUUCCAUAAAGUUUACAGUGCUGGAGACUCCUGAGAAAUUACUGUCACCUGAAUCUUUUAAAAAUCUUAGUGAUGAAGUAACUGUAGGAUGAAAUACUUGAAUUGCUCUUAGUAUUUUACAGGUUUUACAGGCAUAUCCUUCUGUAAUUCAUAAAGUUGUUUGAGAUAACCUGACGAAAUCAUGCCUUCUGAAGAAAAUAAAUUAUGAUCUAAAAACAAAUUUCUGGUAUUUUUUAUGGCAUGACAGAAAUCAAAACUCAAGAAUAAUGGAAGUUGUUCUAAAAUAGGAUGAUUAAUGCAAUUUUUUAGAGAGUCAUCACCAAAUUUUUUGAACAGGGCAACAUUUAUUGAUGCGUUAUCUGUAACAAGUCUCAGAACAAUAAAUCCACAAUCUGUUACAAAUUGUAACACAUUCUUAGUCAGUGAAUAUAACUCAUCUGCCGUCAACGUAGAAUGGAAGAAGUAACCUGUAGGUUUUGAUGUGUCAAGACCAUAAAUUCUAUCUUCUGAUCGGCUAUAAUGUAGUUUUUCAGUGAUUGACAUGUCAUCUAGAAUUAAAGAGCAGACUCUUUCUAUUGGUUGAGAUAGUUGUGCUAUCUCUGUACAUAAACGUUUCUUAAUUAGUUCAUUUUGCCCCUGGUAAUCACCUAUGUACCUUGAAAUGGUGGCUUUGGAGGGUAGUUUAAUCAAAUUGUUAUGACAAAAUUUAUAGCCUUUAGGGCUGCAGAAUCUCCAUACUGUACACAUACGGACGGUAAUUUCUGACCAU